UGGACAUGUUCCCUAGAUUCCUGGACACACCUGGCCUUAUUGAACAAGAUUUUUUGCUACUAUUUGGAGAAGAGAUCUCAGGAAAGUUUCUGGCAAAGUGGCCAACCUACUUCAAACAGAGAGUGAUCAAUGACAGCAAAGGAUUGUCCUCCAGUCACCACAUUGAGGAACUCAUCAAAGAUGCUCAGCGUGAACCUGGUGAUGACUCUACAGGGUGGGAUAGUGACAUCUCAGCCUUACUGUUGCUGCUGUAUCUCCUGCCCCCAACUCCAAAAGGCCACAAGAAGGCAGCAAAGAUCAGCCCCCUUCAGGCAGCUGACCAUGUGGUGCGAUUUCUUAGGGUGAGUUUUCAUGUGU
This is a long non-coding RNA of Sinocyclocheilus anshuiensis, 357 nucleotides long. RefSeq lists it as uncharacterized. NCBI's taxonomy places the organism in Eukaryota, Metazoa, Chordata, Actinopteri, Cypriniformes, Cyprinidae. The transcript has 3 exons. The record is from RefSeq and is a predicted model, not a curated record.